GGGGUAAUAGAGAUUAGAUCUUUCUUUUUUCUAUUCAAUUGGGUCCUCUUAUAAUGUGUAGAGAUGUCAUUAUAACUAUAUCUCAUAAAGAUGAAUGCAAAAAGAAAACUUUACUUUUCUAUGAAAUCCUAGGAUUGUGUAUGUGAUAUAUUAUAUGAAAAGUAGUUGCAUCUAAUCAUUAUAAAUAAAAUCUAAAAUCA
Molecule: long non-coding RNA, 200 nt
Filed under: Elaeis guineensis (African oil palm)
Lineage: Eukaryota; Viridiplantae; Streptophyta; Magnoliopsida; Arecales; Arecaceae
Description: long non-coding RNA (EGUI_LNC047965)
Source: RNAcentral